AUACGGAGGAUGCGAGCGUUAUCCGGAUUUAUUGGGUUUAAAGGGAGCGUAGGUGGGAUAUUAAGUCAGCUGUGAAAGUUUGGGGCUCAACCUUAAAAUUGCAGUUGAUACUGGUUUCCUUGAGUACGGUACAGGUGGGCGGAAUUCGUGGUGUAGCGGUGAAAUGCUUAGAUAUGACGAAGAACACCGAUUGCGUAGGCAGCUGACCAGACCGCAAAUGACGCUCAUGCACGAAAGUGCGGGGAUCGAACAGGAUUAGAUACCCUGGUAGUCCGCACAGUAAACGAUGAAUACUUGUUUUCGGCGAUAUAAUGUCGGAGGCAAAGCGAAAGCGAUAAGUAUUCCACCUGGGGAGUACGCCGGCAACGGUGAAACUCAAAGGAAUUGACGGGG
This 393-nucleotide ribosomal RNA is filed under the name uncultured bacterium. Its description in RNAcentral is "partial 16S ribosomal RNA". It matches the Rfam family "Bacterial small subunit ribosomal RNA", at positions 523 to 918 of the family's 1533-position model. The record is from RNAcentral.